Long non-coding RNA from Callorhinchus milii (elephant shark), 790 nucleotides. RefSeq lists it as uncharacterized. The record is from RefSeq and is a predicted model, not a curated record. Lineage: Eukaryota; Metazoa; Chordata; Chondrichthyes; Chimaeriformes; Callorhinchidae. The transcript is spliced from 4 exons.
UCCACCCCAUCGGGGUUCGGCCCGAGCCACGACAGCGCACGAUGGGGCCACACAGAGGACAUCACCAUUGAGGUCCUCAACCAGACCAGUGUCAGGUGCAGUAAUAGUUGGAGCUCGUGUGACAGAGACACGGGCUUUAUCCCGUCACUCCCCUCGUCAGGACUGAAGAGGAGACGAGACACUGAGUUGAUCUCCUCAUCGCUGCCUCCGGUACAUUGUGUGUCUGACUGGGGGUGUGAGGGCCCAAACCUGUGGAAGAAGACAAAGGUAUCUCCUGGUCACUACGCCGCAGCUACGACCUACUGCCCGGAGCACCCGCACCACCAUUACAACCUGAAACCAGACGUCCCCCGGUUCCUCCUGAGCGCGUCGGUGGAGAUCAGCAACGUUUUGCCCGUGCUGAGCUGCGUGGACUGCGAGGUGAACGCUCCUCUGUGCAAACGGUCCCGUCUACUGCAAGGCCCAGAACUGCUCCGUGUCCUCGACCAGACCAGUGUCUCUGUCUUGACCCUGCCUCAGACCCUCGGGCGAACCUAAGGACGUAAGGAAUUCCAACCCCCCACCCCACACAGAAACAAGACUUGAGGUCCAUCUCGUUGUCCUCCCGCCUUCCUUCCUGGCUGGCGGUCGCUGGCUCACAUGCCCCGAGCUCCCCGUGUGCCGUGUCCCAUCACGUCCUUUCCUAAAACUAUCUCAUCCGUGCUUGAAGGACUCAACGUCUCCAGCUUCGACCGUCUGUCUCUCCAGGGAGCCUACUAUUCGCGUUCCCCCCUCCCCUCCACCCCCACAC